GACGAACGCUGGCGGCGUGCUUAACACAUGCAAGUCGAACGGAAAGGCCCUGCUUUUGUGGGGUGCUCGAGUGGCGAACGGGUGAGUAACACGUGAGUAACCUGCCCUUGACUUUGGGAUAACUUCAGGAAACUGGGGCUAAUACCGGAUAGGAGCUCCUGCUGCAUGGUGGGGGUUGGAAAGUUUCGGCGGGUGGGGAUGGACUCGCGGCUUAUCAGCUUGUUGGUGGGGUAGUGGCUUACCAAGGCUUUGACGGGUAGCCGGCCUGUGAGGGUGACCGGCCACAUUGGGACUGAGAUACGGCCCAGACGCCUACGGGAGGCAGCAGUGGGGAAUAUUGCACAAUGGGCGGAAGCCUGAUGCAGCAACGCCGCGUGCGGGAUGACGGCCUUCGGGUUGUAAACCGCUUUCGCCUGUGACGAAGCGUGAGUGACGGUAAUGGGUAAAGAAGCACCGGCUAACUACGUG
RNAcentral lists this ribosomal RNA (468 nucleotides) under uncultured bacterium. Its description in RNAcentral is "partial 16S ribosomal RNA". It matches the Rfam family "Bacterial small subunit ribosomal RNA", at positions 28 to 507 of the family's 1533-position model. The record is from RNAcentral.